AAUAUCGGGCUUUUUCAAGUCUGAUAAUUGGAAUGAGUACAAUUUAAAUCCCUUAACGAGGAUCCACUGGAGGGCAAGUCUGGUGCCAGCAGCCGCGGUAAUUCCAGCUCCAGUAGCGUAUAUUAAAGUUGUUGCAGUUAAAAAGCUCGUAGUUGGAUUUCUGGUACGCUGCGCCUGGCCCGCCUUCGGGUGAGUGCUGGUGCGCGGUUGCCAUCCUUCUAGAGAACACGUCUACCCUUCAUUGGGCCGGACGUGGAAUCUAGAUCUUUUACUUUGAAAAAAUUAGAGUGUUUAAAGCAGGCUUAUGCUAUGAAUACAUUAGCAUGGAAUAAUAAUAUAGGACUUUGGUUCUAUUUUGUUGGUUUCUAGGACUAAAGUAAUGAUUGAUAGGGAUAGUUGGGGGUGCUCCUAUUCGCUGGCCAGAGGUGAAAUUCUUGGAUUCAGUGAAGAGGAACUUAUGCGAAAGCAUUCACCAAGGAUGUCUUCUUUAAUCAAGAACGAAAGUUGGGGGAUCGAAGACGAUCAGAUACCGUCGUAGUCUCAACCAUAAACUAUGCCGACUAGGGAUGAGUGAUCGUUGCAUUUUCGACUUCAUUCGCACCUUAUGAGAAAUCAAAGUCUUUGGGUUCCGGGGGGAGUAUGGUCGCAAGGCUGAAACUUAAAGGAAUUGACGGAAGGGCACCACCAGGUGUGGAGCCUGCGGCUUAAUUUGACUA
This 716-nucleotide ribosomal RNA is filed under the name uncultured eukaryote. RNAcentral's name for it is "SSU rRNA". It matches the Rfam family "Eukaryotic small subunit ribosomal RNA", at positions 482 to 1201 of the family's 1831-position model. The record is from RNAcentral.